RNAcentral lists this ribosomal RNA (3165 nucleotides) under sediment metagenome. RNAcentral describes it as "bacterial LSU rRNA". It matches the Rfam family "Bacterial large subunit ribosomal RNA". The record is from RNAcentral.
AAAAGCGAAAAAAGGGCGUACGGUGGAUGCCUUGGCGCUAGAAGCCGAUGAAGGACGUGGCAGGCUACGAUAAGCUUUGGGAAGGUGCCAACAACCGUUAUUACCCAGAGAUUUCCGAAUUGGAUAACCAGAUAUUGGUAAUGCAAUAUCAUCACACUGAUUUAUUAGUGUGAGGGCGACGCAGGGAACUGAAACCUCUUAGUACCUGCAGGAAAAGAGAACAAAUUAGUGAUUCCCCUAGUAGUGGCGAGCGAAAAGGGAAGAGCCUAAACUUCUGUUGUGUAAGAGGGAUUUGAAACAUGAUUCGCGUUGCGAUGAUUGUGGAAAUGAACUCGUAGGCUGCGGCUCGUGCAGCAGAAGGGUUGUAGGACUAUCCGACUUGUCCGCAAACAAGUCAAGAAGUUACAAAACUUAUUUCUAACCGAAUAUAUAUGGAAAGAUAAACCAUAGAGCAUGAAAGUUGCGUAGGUUAAAGGGAUGAGUCUUCUGAUAGUAUCCUGAGUACCACGGGGCACGUGAGACCUUGUGGGAAGCUGCCAGUGCCAUCUGGCAAGGCUAAAUACUUCUAGCGACCGAUAGUGAACUAGUACCGUGAGGGAAAGGUGAAAAUUACCGCUGUUAGCGGAGUGAAAUAGAACUGAAACCGUAUGCUUACAAACAGUCGGAGCUGUGUAUCUUUAUUGAUACAUGGUGACGGCGUGCCUAUUGAAGAAUGACCCAGCGAGUUAGUAUGUGUGGCAAGGUUAACCGCGCCAUCAGAGAUUAAUUGCACGAGAAUUCUGUGUAUAUUGAUAACUGUUGGCGCGGGGAGCCAGAGCGAAAGCGAGUCUUAAAAGGGCGUCGUAGUCGCAUGUACUAGACCCGAAACCAGGUGAUCUAACCAUGUCCAGGGUGAAGUCUAUCGAAAGAUAGAUGGAGGCCCGAACUCGUUAAUGCUGCAAAAUUAUGAGAUGAGGUGUGGUUAGCGGUAACAUGCCAAUCGAACCUGGAGAUAGCUGGUUCUCCCCGAAAUAGCUUUAGGGCUAGCGCAAUGAUUUAAACUUUGGGGGUAGAGCACUGAUUGGGUUUUGGGCCCGAAAGGGUACCAAAUCUUGUCAAACUCCGAAUACCAUUGUGUACAUCAUUGUAGUUAGAGCUAGAGGGCUAAGCCUCUAUGCUCGAAAGGGAAACAGCCCAGACCGUCAGAUAAGGACCCAAAAUUCCAUCUUAGUGGGAAAGGUAGUGAAGCUUCUUAAACAGCUAGGAGGUUGGCUUAGAGGCAGCCAUCCUUUAAAAAGUGCGUAAAAGCUUACUAGUCAAGAGACUUCGCGCCGAAAAUUUAACGGGGCUGAAGAUGGAUUCCGAUGCUGCGGACGGUAAUUACUUAGGUAAUUAUUAGUGGUAGGGGAGCGUUCUGUACGUGUCUACGUGAGUAGACCAUCGCGGUGAAGGUAACCUGUGAAGAGUUACUGGAGCGUACAGAAGUGAGAAUGCUGGGAUGAGUAGCGUAAAGUGGGUGAAAACCCCGCUCGCCGAAUGUUCAAGGUUUCCAUGGCAAUGUCAGUCAACCAUGGGUUAGUCGGUCCUAAGUUGAGGCUGAAAGGCGUAGACGAUGGACAACAGGUUAAUAUUCCUGUACUGGCAAUAAGAUGCGAAGGAGUCAGGUUGUUGAAAAGGCAGGCUUCUUCUUGGUUAUAGAAGUGUAAAUAGUAAACUAGUAGUUCUAGGUAAAUCCGGAAUUAUGUUUUCAUCUAGGUGAAUGAAAGUGAGCUAUGAUGCAAAGGCGACCUACGGGAAGCCAAUCUGUCGUAUUUAAUGGCCCAGGAAAAACUUCUAGCUUUAAUUGUUCUUCGGAACUUUUAAGACUUAUUGUCAACCGUACCGCAAACCGACACAGGUGAACUGGUGUAAAAGCACCAAGGCGUACGAGUGAGGCGUUGUUAAGGAACUAGGCAAAUUUACCCCGUAACUUUGGAAGAAGGGGGGCCAUACAACAUAUUUCUUUUGAAUUGUGUUGAUUAUGGCGGCACAGAAUAGGGGGGGACGACUAGUUAUCAAAACUACAGGUGCCUGCAAACACGUAAGUGGAUGUAUAGGGGCUGACACCUGCCCAAUGCCAGAAGGUUAAAGAAGUUGGUUAUCCUACUUAGGUAGGAGAAGCUGAUGACUGAAGCCCUGGUGAAUGGCGGCUGUAACUAUAACGGUCCUAAGGUAGCGUAAUACCUCGCCACUUAAUUAGUGGCUUGCUUGAAAGGUGUAACGAUCCUCCUACUGUCUCGACAACGCGCUCGGUGAAAUUGAAAUGGCUGUGAAGAUGCGGCCUACCCGUAUCAGGACAAAAAGACCCCGUGGAGCUUUACUGCAACUUUACAUUGACUCAAGGUAAGAGAUGAAGAGAAUAGGUGGGAGACUGUGAACUCGACUCGUUAGGGUUGGGGGAGUCGUUAGUGGAAUACCACCCUUUUCUUGCUUUGUGUCUAAGUAUAUAAAUUAUCUUUAUGUAUGACAGUGUAUGGUGGGCAGUUUGACUGGGGCGGUUGCUUGCGAAAGAGUAACGCAAGCGCACAUAAGGUUGACUCAAUCCGGAUGGAAAUCGGAUGAAGAGUGCAUAGGUAUAAGUCAGCUUUACUGCGAGGGGGACACCCCGAGCAGUUGGGAAACCAGGUCUAAGUGAUCCUAUGGUGGAACAUGGUAUCGCCAUUGACUAACGAAGAUAAGCUACCCCGGGGAUAACAGGCUAGUCGCGCCCGAUAGUCCAUAUUGACGGCGCGGAUCGGCACCUCGAUGUCGGCUCGUCACAUCCUGGGUGUGGAACAGCACCCAAGGGUUGGACUGUUCGUCCAUUAAAGUGGCACGUGAGCUGGGUUCAGACCGGCGUGAGCCAGGUCGGUCUCUAUCCGAUACGGGCGAUGCAUAUUUGAGGGACUUGACUCCCAGUACGAAAGGAUCGGAGUGUGGUAACCUCUAGUGAAUCAGCUGUCCUACCAAGGGCAUUGCUGAGUAGCUACGUUGCUAUUGGAUAAGCACUGAAAGCAUAUAAGUGCGAAGCCUAUCCCAAGAUUAAGUAUGCUUAUUCGCCAUGAGUGAAUGAGAGGUCUGUAGUAGAUUACUACGUUGAUAGGCUCUAGGUGUAAUUAUAGUAAUAUAUUUAGCCGAGGAGUACUAAUCGACCAAAAGCUUUUUUAA